CCACGCCGUAAACGAUGAGUGCUAGGUGUCGGGAGUCAAAUCUCGGUGCCGCAGUUAACGCAAUAAGCACUCCGCCUGGGGAGUACGUACGCAAGUAUGAAACUCAAAGGAAUUGACGGGGGCCCGCACAAGCAGUGGAGUAUGUGGUUUAAUUCGAGGCAACGCGAAGAACCUUACCAGGGCUUGACAUCCUCUGACCGCCUAAGAGAUUAGGUUUCCCUUCGGGGCAGAGAGACAGGUGGUGCAUGGUUGU
RNAcentral lists this ribosomal RNA (253 nucleotides) under uncultured bacterium. Its description in RNAcentral is "partial 16S ribosomal RNA". It matches the Rfam family "Bacterial small subunit ribosomal RNA", at positions 795 to 1052 of the family's 1533-position model. The record is from RNAcentral.